Non-coding RNA from Nocardioides sp. Leaf285, 399 nucleotides. It matches the Rfam family "Bacterial RNase P class A". Rfam says of the family: Ribonuclease P (RNase P) is a ubiquitous endoribonuclease, found in archaea, bacteria and eukarya as well as chloroplasts and mitochondria. Its best characterised activity is the generation of mature 5'-ends of tRNAs by cleaving the 5'-leader elements of precursor-tRNAs. Lineage: Bacteria; Bacillati; Actinomycetota; Actinomycetes; Propionibacteriales; Nocardioidaceae. The record is from Rfam.
CGGGCUGGCCGGGCGACCGCGUCGUCUCCCUCGGGAGGCGCCGAGGAAGGUCCGGGCUCCACAGGGCGUGGUGGUGGGUAACGCCCACCCGGGGUGACCCGCGGGACAGUGCCACAGAGAACAGACCGCCGCCGAGGGCUCCGGCCCGAGGCGGUAAGGGUGAAACGGUGGUGCAAGAGACCACCAGCGCCCCGGGCGACCGGGGCGGCUAGGCAAACCCCACCUGGAGCAAGGUCAAGAAGUACGGAGCCGCGAGGCCCCGCACGCGUGCACGUCUGAGGGUGACCCGCCCGAGUGCACGGGUAGACCGCUGGAGGCUGUCGGCAACGGCAGUCGUAGAUGGAUGGUCGCCGCCGGCGCGAGCCGGCACAGAACCCGGCCUACAGGCCAGCCCGUCCG